UACGUAGGGUCCGAGCGUUGUUCGGAAUUACUGGGCGUAAAGCGCGCGUAGGCGGACCUGCAAGUCGGGGGUGAAAGCCCGAGGCUCAACCUCGGAACUGCCUUCGAUACUGCGGGUCUCGAGUCCGGGAGAGGUGAGUGGAAUUCCUAGUGUAGAGGUGAAAUUCGUAGAUAUUCGCAAGAACACCAGUGGCGAAGGCGGCUCACUGGCCCGGUACUGACGCUGAGGUGCGAAAGCGUGGGGAGCAAACAGG
This 253-nucleotide ribosomal RNA is filed under the name uncultured bacterium. Its description in RNAcentral is "partial 16S ribosomal RNA". It matches the Rfam family "Bacterial small subunit ribosomal RNA", at positions 524 to 776 of the family's 1533-position model. The record is from RNAcentral.